Molecule: long non-coding RNA, 270 nt
Organism: Spea bombifrons (plains spadefoot toad)
Lineage: Eukaryota; Metazoa; Chordata; Amphibia; Anura; Pelobatidae
Exons: 2
Source: RefSeq, a predicted model, not a curated record
GAUCUGAGACACAUCCUAUACAGAACAUGAGGCUGGUGUCAUCACAUGGACCUAUUGACUUCCAGAUUUCAAUGGAAAAUGGAGAACACCUUUUAAGAGAGUCCAGACAAUCGUCUGCCUUGACUGAGAAGAUUGAGUGGGUUGGCUUUGCUGCUGCCCUGAGUGUAAUCUGUGUGGCUGCGGGUGUUGUUGGCUUGUGGCGAUUCAUUGCACGAAGAUCGCAUGAUGUGACUCCUGUAAAUAUGUAAACAAUAAAAUGUAAACAAGUAA